This 280-nucleotide long non-coding RNA is filed under the name Ictidomys tridecemlineatus (thirteen-lined ground squirrel). RNAcentral's name for it is "lncRNA (ENSSTOG00000031870.1)". Lineage: Eukaryota; Metazoa; Chordata; Mammalia; Rodentia; Sciuridae. The record is from RNAcentral.
CUGGGUCUUCAUUAGACUGGAAAAGUAGAAGAUCAGAUCCACUGACAAGCAGCAGCUGGCAGGGAGUUUCCAAGUCAUGCUCCUAAAUAGCACAAGAUCUGGAGAGAUGAUUUUUCACAGUGGAAUCACUGGGGCCCUCAGCAGCAAAUAUCCUUCUUCAGUAUUGGACACGUGGGCAUGUCAUCGAUGAUACCGAGGAGGAAUCUUUUCAGCAGUGAGAUGUGUCUUUUAGAGUCUCUCAUAAACAUGGCAACUCUUUCCCGGAAACUGGAACAGUGAU